This 523-nucleotide ribosomal RNA is filed under the name uncultured Oceanobacterium sp. RNAcentral's name for it is "bacterial SSU rRNA". It matches the Rfam family "Bacterial small subunit ribosomal RNA", at positions 339 to 880 of the family's 1533-position model. The record is from RNAcentral. Lineage: Bacteria; Pseudomonadati; Pseudomonadota; Alphaproteobacteria; Rhodobacterales; Paracoccaceae.
CUACGGGAGGCAGCAGUGGGGAAUCUUGGACAAUGGGCGCAAGCCUGAUCCAGCCAUGCCGCGUGAGUGAUGAAGGCCUUAGGGUUGUAAAACUCUUUCACCAGUGAAGAUAAUGACAGUACCUGGUAAAGAAGCCCCGGCUAACUCCGUGCCAGCAGCCGCGGUAAUACGGAGGGGGCUAGCGUUGUUCGGAAUUACUGGGCGUAAAGCGCGCGUAGGCGGACUGGAAAGUUGGGGGUGAAAUCCCGGGGCUCAACCCCGGAACUGCCUCCAAAACUAUCAGUCUAGAGUUCGAGAGAGGUGAGUGGAAUUCCGAGUGUAGAGGUGAAAUUCGUAGAUAUUCGGAGGAACACCAGUGGCGAAGGCGGCUCACUGGCUCGAUACUGACGCUGAGGUGCGAAAGUGUGGGGAGCAAACAGGAUUAGAUACCCUGGUAGUCCACACCGUAAACGAUGAAUGCCAGUCGUCGGGUAGCAUGCUAUUCGGUGACACACCUAACGGAUUAAGCAUUCCGCCUGGGGAG